UACGUAGGGACCAAGCGUUGUCCGGAAUCAUUGGGCGUAAAGAGCGUGUAGGCGGCUUGUUAAGUCUUGCGUGAAAUCUCGGGGCUCAACCCCGAGCGGUCGUGAGAAACUGGCAGGCUAGAGUGCGGGAGAGGAGAGUGGAAUUCCCGGUGUAGCGGUGAAAUGCGCAGAUAUCGGGAAGAACACCCGUGGCGAAGGCGGCUCUCUGGGACGGUACUGACGCUGAGACGCGAAAGCGUGGGGAGCGAACAGG
RNAcentral lists this ribosomal RNA (253 nucleotides) under uncultured bacterium. RNAcentral describes it as "partial 16S ribosomal RNA". It matches the Rfam family "Bacterial small subunit ribosomal RNA", at positions 524 to 776 of the family's 1533-position model. The record is from RNAcentral.